This 426-nucleotide ribosomal RNA is filed under the name uncultured Lysobacteraceae bacterium. RNAcentral's name for it is "bacterial SSU rRNA". It matches the Rfam family "Bacterial small subunit ribosomal RNA", at positions 356 to 774 of the family's 1533-position model. Lineage: Bacteria; Pseudomonadati; Pseudomonadota; Gammaproteobacteria; Lysobacterales; Lysobacteraceae. The record is from RNAcentral.
GGGGAAUAUUGGACAAUGGGCGCAAGCCUGAUCCAGCCAUGCCGCGUGGGUGAAGAAGGCCUUCGGGUUGUAAAGCCCUUUUGUUGGGAAAGAAAAGCAGCCGGCCAAUACCCGGUUGUUCUGACGGUACCCAAAGAAUAAGCACCGGCUAACUUCGUGCCAGCAGCCGCGGUAAUACGAAGGGUGCAAGCGUUACUCGGAAUUACUGGGCGUAAAGCGUGCGUAGGUGGUGGUUUAAGUCCGUUGUGAAAGCCCUGGGCUCAACCUGGGAACUGCAGUGGAUACUGGAUCACUAGAGUGUGGCAGAGGGUAGUGGAAUUCCCGGUGUAGCAGUGAAAUGCGUAGAGAUCGGGAGGAACACCAGUGGCGAAGGCGGUUCUCUGGACAUUUCCUGACGCUGAGAAGCGAAAGCGUGGGGAGCAAACA